AUGGACCCCGACUUCCGGUUCGACCCGGACGGCUCCGACGACGAGGCGCCGGCGGGGGCCGCCGUGCGGCGCAAGCCCGCGCAGUCGCCGUGGGAGUUCUCCACGUACGCCGAGUCCGUGGCGGCGGAGCACGCGGCGCGCCGCACCACCUCCAUCGACGAGAAGAUCUCCCAGGCUCUCCGGGGCCGGCGCAACCCCUCCAUGCCCGAUGGCUCCGAGGACGAGGAGGAGGAGGAUGCUGAUGACGACAGCGACGAGGAGGCGGCGGUGAAGGGGGAGAGCGGGGACGAUGAGGACGAGAUCGAGGAGAGCGGCGACGACGACGAAGAGAUCGAGUCGAGCGGCGGGGAGGAGGACGGUGAAGUGGAAGCUGGCGAGCAAGGCGAAGGGGAAGAGGCGGGGGGAGAAGAAGAAGAAGAAGAGGCUGUGCAAGAGGAAGACGAUGCGCCCGAGCAGCCGGAUCCGUCUCAAUUCUUUGCGUCAUCGGAAGGAGCUUCUUUUAGUGCAAGGUCGUUUCUUGAGCUCAACUUAUCGCGUCCACUCAUUCGAGCCUGUGAAGCACUGGGCUACCAGAAGCCAACACCAAUUCAGGCCGCAUGCAUCCCUCUGGCAUUAACAGGGAGGGAUAUAUGCGGCAGUGCCAUCACAGGAUCAGGGAAGACGGCUGCUUUCUCUCUGCCUGUGCUGGAGCGUCUGCUUUUCCGGCCGAAGCGCGUGCCUGCAAUCAGGGUGCUUAUUCUCACCCCAACCAGAGAGCUUGCUGCGCAGGUCCAUAGCAUGAUUGAGAAAUUGGCCCAGUUUACUGAUAUCAGGUGCUGUCUCAUAGUUGGUGGGCUUCCAACCAAGGCACAGGAGGUGGCUUUAAGGUCGAAUCCUGACAUUGUUGUUGCCACUCCUGGGCGUAUAGUGGAUCAUCUGCGCAACUCCCUUUCUGUCGGGCUUGAAGAUCUUGCAGUUCUGAUCCUUGAUGAAGCUGACCGUUUGCUAGAAUUGGGUUUCAGUGUUGAAAUUGGUGAGCUCAUUCGCAUGUGUCCUAAAAGGAGGCAGACCAUGCUCUUUUCUGCCACAAUGACAGAGCAAAUCGACGAGCUUGUGAAACUUUCUCUGAACAAGCCAGUCCGUCUUGAAGCUGAUCCUUCGCUGAAACGCCCUGCAACAUUGACUGAAGAGGUGGUUAGAAUACGGCGAUCACGUGAAGCAACUCAAGAAGCUGUUCUGCUUGCUCUCUGUUUGAAGACCUUCAAGGAAAGAGUGAUCAUUUUUAGUGGGACAAAGCAUUCUGCUCACAGAUUGAAGAUACUGUUUGGUCUGUCUGGGAUAAAAGCUGCUGAGCUUCAUGGCAACCUUACACAGGCACAGCGGCUUGAGGCUUUAGAACAAUUCAAAAAGCAAGAAGCGGACAUCCUGAUUGCAACUGAUAUUGCAGCUCGUGGUAUUGACAUUGUUGGUGUUAGAACUGUCAUAAAUUUUGCCUGCCCACGUGAUGUCAAAACUUACCUUCAUCGUGUUGGCCGUACUGCAAGGGCUGGCAGGGAAGGAUAUGCCGUGACAUUUGUUACUGAUGAUGAUAGAUCCCUGUUGAAAGCUAUUGCAAAGAAGGCUGGUUCUCAGCUGAAAAGCCGCAUUGUUGCCGAGAAACCUGUGUCUGACUGUGCAAAAUUAAUUGAGCAACUGGAGCAUCAAAUCUCUAACAUAAUUCUGGAAGAAAGGGAGGAAAUGGCAUUGAGAAAGGCUGAAAUGGAAGCUACAAAGGCAGAAAAUAUGAUAGCUCACAGGGAUGAGAUAUACUCACGCCCCAAGAGAACCUGGUUUGCUACUGAGAAGGAAAAGAAACUGUUGGCAAAGGCUGCUAAAGAAUCCUUGGAUCAAGUUAAAGGUGGCUCUGUAGUUGUUAGUGCUCAGCAAGCUGAAGAUCUUCGUCUGAAGGAGAAAAGAAGAAGAGAGCGUGAGAAAAAUCUACCUAGGAAGAAGCGCAGAAAGUUGGAGGCACAGCGGGAAAUGCUAGAGGAGGAGAAGGAAGAGGAGGAAGCUCAGGAAAGCAAAGGAGGGAAGAAAGCAAAGAGUAGCCAAUCUGUAGUUGAUGUCGCUUAUCGCAGGGCAAAAUCAAUGAAGGCGACGGGCAAAAUCGGCGUUCGUGCUAGCAAAGGAAAGAAUGAGAAAGGGUCAAAACAGCCUGCUGAAAAGGGCCAGACUAGGCAAGAGGAAAUGCAUGAACUGUUCCAGAAUGAUAUGAGUGAAUGGAAGCAGGGCCGUUCCCUGAAGAAAAAGGACAGCUCGUUUGCAAAGAAAUCUAAGAAUGCCUUCAAGAGCAAAUCAAGGUACAAGCGACGUAAGUAG
This 2337-nucleotide ribosomal RNA is filed under the name Triticum aestivum (bread wheat). RNAcentral describes it as "partial small subunit ribosomal RNA". Lineage: Eukaryota; Viridiplantae; Streptophyta; Magnoliopsida; Poales; Poaceae. The record is from RNAcentral.